GACGAACGCUGGCGGCGUGCUUAACACAUGCAAGUCGAACGGAAAGGCCCUGCUUUUGUGGGGUGCUCGAGUGGCGAACGGGUGAGUAACACGUGAGUAACCUGCCCUUGACUUUGGGAUAACUUCAGGAAACUGGGGCUAAUACCGGAUAGGAGCUCCUGCUGCAUGGUGGGGGUUGGAAAGGUUCGGCGGUUGGGGAUGGACUCGCGGCUUAUCAGCUUGUUGGUGGGGUAGUGGCUUACCAAGGCUUUGACGGGUAGCCGGCCUGAGAGGGUGACCGGCCACAUUGGGACUGAGAUACGGCCCAGACUCCUACGGGAGGCAGCAGUGGAGAAUAGUGCACAAUGGGCGGAAGGCUGAUGCAGCAACGCCGCGUGCGGGAUGACGGCCUUCGGGUUGUAAACCGCUUUCGCCUGUGACGAAGCGUGAGUGACGGUAAUGGGUAAAGAAGCACCGGCUAACUACGUG
This 468-nucleotide ribosomal RNA is filed under the name uncultured bacterium. Its description in RNAcentral is "partial 16S ribosomal RNA". It matches the Rfam family "Bacterial small subunit ribosomal RNA", at positions 28 to 507 of the family's 1533-position model. The record is from RNAcentral.